GCUCCGGUGGCCUAUUGGUUAGAGCCUCCGCCUCUGAUGCGGGAGGUCGCGUGUUUAAACCCCGGCCAAAUCA
This is a non-coding RNA of Potamilus streckersoni, 73 nucleotides long. The record is from the annotation of a GenBank genome assembly. NCBI's taxonomy places the organism in Eukaryota, Metazoa, Mollusca, Bivalvia, Unionida, Unionidae.